UACGGGGGGGGCAAGCGUUGUUCGGAAUCACUGGGCGUAAAGCGCACGUAGGCGGAUCCUUAAGUCGGGGGUGAAAUCCUGGAGCUCAACUCCAGAACUGCCUUCGAUACUGAGGAUCUCGAGUCCGGGAGAGGUGAGUGGAACUGCGAGUGUAGAGGUGAAAUUCGUAGAUAUUCGCAAGAACACCAGUGGCGAAGGCGGCUCACUGGCCCGGUACUGACGCUGAGGUGCGAAAGCGUGGGGAGCAAACAGG
RNAcentral lists this ribosomal RNA (253 nucleotides) under uncultured bacterium. RNAcentral's name for it is "partial 16S ribosomal RNA". It matches the Rfam family "Bacterial small subunit ribosomal RNA", at positions 524 to 776 of the family's 1533-position model. The record is from RNAcentral.